AUCGAGGUCGGGGUUACGCCUGCACACGGCUGCCGCAGGCACCCACACACACACUUGCGACACCCGUGCACGGAUUCUCGCGGAUUCUCUUGUCGUGGGCUAGGCGAGCAGAGGGUUCUGCGAACUGUUCACGCGGGGAAUCCUUUUUGGCCGUCAACGGGUGGGCAGCCUUUCUCCAUGCAGUAUGCGUCAUAAUCGAUAAGGACAGGAGCGGGGCGCGUGUAUGGGGAUCGUCUUGAAGGAAAACGUCGCGCCCUUCGAGUAUGUCGAAAAAUGAAUGAAAAUCGCGAGAGGGAAGAGAGCGUGAGAGAGAAAGCGAAAGAGAGUGUGUGACUGGGCGAGGUGAGUGCGAGCGUGUAAGGGAGAGAAAGAGAGACAGGGACAAACGCAACGAAUCGUAGGUGUCCGAGGUUAAGAGAAAACCGUGACGGGGUAGGGAAAAAAAGGGAAGACGAGGAAAAGUUUGCGCGCGCGUGUGUGUCUAAACAGUACGAAAAAGAAAAGAACAGAAAGAAAGAAAGAAAGAAAAGAGAAAGGAACAAUCGGAAUCACUUGACACACUCGACAUCGUGAACAUCGUGUUGUUCAUAACGAGUCUCUUUUCGUUUGACAGUCGCAGAAAAGGAUCAACGGUGCGAACAAUCGGCCCCCGGAAGAGUGGAGUGCGGACAACGUAGAGUGAUCUGUAGACAGGACAAUAUAGAUAGAAAGAGAGAAAGAGAGAGAGAAAAAAAGAGGAAAAAAGCUGAUGGUAUCAUCGCGGGCAAGGAAACUGCGAUACGUAAACGGGUCACGCGAGCAGGUCGUGUUAUCGGUGUCCCGUGCUUCGAAGAGGAAGUAUCGAGAUAUAUUGGCGGUGAGUGCGGUAUCGAGAGUAAUUAAGCAGUCGCGGGAUUACUUGGUAAUAAUGGCUGGUCGCGAUUGACUGAGAGAGACAAAGUAAGCGUGUGCGCGGCCACUAGUGUACACUGGCUACAUCUAUCUGAGUAACGCGGCAGGACGAUAGGAACAGGAAGGACUGAGGAGAAAAAAGAGGGAGGGCAAGUGGGAACGGGCACCGAUAGGGGUAGAUAGAGGGUGAGAGAGAGAGAGAGAGAGAGAGAGAGAGAACGUGAGGGAGUGAGAGAGAGAGAGAACGUGAGGGAGUGAGAGAGAGAGAGAGAGAGAGAGAGAGAGAGAGAGAGAGAGAGAGAGCGUGAGAGGGGGAGAGAGAGAGAGAGAGAGAGAGAGAAAGGCAAGGUUGCCGGAUAAGCGGCGGGAUCGCAAUCGAAGAGAAUCAGAUGUCGUUAGGGGCCGUUGCCAGAACCCGGAACGAAUAUAUUGUUAGAAACAGAGUGGCGGUCGAGUGAGAGACAGCACCAGGAACGAAGUGAGAACUCGUCGACUCGUCGUCGUAGUGGUCGUCGGUCGAACGUCGAAUUCCCCCCUUCCGCUUCCUACCACGGAGUAGAAGAGUCGAUGGGCUUGCAAGGAACACGGUUGGAUCGAGUCGAAGCGUGCCAGCGAAGAACGAAGGAGUGCGAUUCGAGGCGGGCAGAUGAUUUUCGAUCGAUUGACGGUCGCACGGCUUCGAGACUAUCGCGCCACCAAGUCCCGUUACGUGUGUAGGUUGCCAUGCCGUCGAACUGCCGUCGGAGAUGCGCACCGACGUUCAGCGAUGAUGACACUUAGCUGAGAUGUGCCAUUUUUGACAGGAUCGAGACAGGAGAGAACAACGGUUACCACGACAUCUGCUUCUUUCAAACGAUGCUUGGAUACAUGGUCGACGGAGAGAAGGAAGAAACACACGGUGAUCAGUAAGCACGGGAGAACGAGAAAGACAGACGAGGAUUGCAGGUGAUAAGAAAGAAAGAGAGAGAGAGAGAGAGAGAGAGAGAGAGAGGAACAAAGAGCAAAGAGAAGCAAGAGAAAGAGAAAAAAAGGAGAGAAAGAAAGCAAAACAGAAGUGAGGAGAGCGGCGUGUAUAUGUGUGGGAGCCGUUCGAGAACGGGAAUCGUUCGAACUGCGAACCAUCGUGUCUCAAGGAGAAUAAUCGGUGACUAGUCGUACCAAUCGUGUGCAGCGUGUCGAAAGCGAUAGAGGGAGAAAAAGAGAAAGAUAGAAAGGCAUGCUUGAUAUACGAGGCGGUGUGAUCGUUUCCGAGUGAGCAACGGUAACAACAGCAGCAGCAGCAGCAGCAGCAGCAGCACAUGCUACGGUGAUCCGUAUCAAUUCGCGACUGUGAUUUCUAAGCUUAAGGUUAUAAACAAAUAUUAAGAAAAAGAAGAAGAAAAAGGAGACACGUGGAAAGAAGAAGAAGAAGCGGAAAGAAGAAGUAUAUAAAUUAUUAAACACACACACACACACACAAGCGAGAUAGGAAAAUAUAAAAAAAUCGUCCAUUGUGAUACUAAGAUAUAUUAAACGAGAAUUAGGUGAACACGUGCGCUCAAGGAGAUGGGUGUGAAUGAAAGGGGGCGCGACACAGAGUGUGCCAGGCUGAAAUGCGAGUGUAAUUAAUGGAAACGAUGGUCGAUCGCGGGGCAUGCGUCGGAUUUACAAACUGUGAUACACCGAUAACCAUACCGAGGAAAGCCUGAUGUUCGAUCACUGACGUCGAAUCGCGAGUACCAACCUAUCUACCAACAAAGUGGGAUGAAUCGCCGGUUUUAAAUCCCGUUCUCGGCCACCUCGUGAUUCUUUCGUAGUCGAACCGCGUACCACCGCAACGCAAGAGACGCAGACACACUCAAGAUCGAAAGCGGCUCGCGAACCAGCAACCACAAAAACUUGUCGUUAAAAGAAAAAAAAAAAAAAAAAUAGUAACGAGCGGCGAUUGAUGCGAGUCAAAGUGACGUUGAUCGCGGAAGAGGCCAAGUAGGUGAAGAAAGAGCCAGGUCGUAGUGAUCAGGCCGGUAAGGAGCAGCCGCGUAGUGAAGCAGGUGAAGCCAGGCGCGAAGAGAGGAGACGAGAGUUUUCGUGCAGCGUCGCCGAGGCAGUCACCAGGCAUCGUGUACCACCCCCUGGCCACGGGGGGUGGGACAGAAAGACCGUCAGCGUGGGUGCCGGUGCUGCAGGGGCGCGCCUGGCCCGUCGGCUCGCCCGCAGAUUAGCACGCCGAUUAGCGGCUAGCUCGGGCCCGUUUCGGCGUACCGGCCUGGCGACCUCGGGGGGCCUCACGUCCGCGGCGGUGGCCGUGGCGGCCACGGGGGAGCAGUCCGCUCCCCCAGCAGCUGCGCCACGUCAUACCACGCCGAACGGAAGCGCCAACGGAUCAACCUCGAGCUCCAACCGCAAGAACAGAGCCAUGUCUAUGAGGAGCCUGCACCGGCGCGUCUCUCAC
Molecule: long non-coding RNA, 3322 nt
Organism: Frieseomelitta varia
Lineage: Eukaryota; Metazoa; Arthropoda; Insecta; Hymenoptera; Apidae
Exons: 3
Source: RefSeq, a predicted model, not a curated record